This 253-nucleotide ribosomal RNA is filed under the name uncultured bacterium. RNAcentral's name for it is "partial 16S ribosomal RNA". It matches the Rfam family "Bacterial small subunit ribosomal RNA", at positions 524 to 776 of the family's 1533-position model. The record is from RNAcentral.
UACGAAGGUGGCAAGCGUUGUUCGGAAUUACUGGGCGUAAAGGGCGCGUAGGCGGCCCUCUAAGUCGAACGUGAAAUCCCCGGGCUCAACCCGGGAACUGCGUCCGAUACUGGAGGGCUCGAAUCCGGGAGAGGGAUGUGGAAUUCCAGGUGUAGCGGUGAAAUGCGUAGAUAUCUGGAGGAACACCGGUGGCGAAGGCGGCAUCCUGGACCGGUAUUGACGCUGAGGCGCGAAAGCCAGGGGAGCAAACGGG